GAUGAACGCUGGCGGCGUGCCUAAUACAUGCAAGUCGAGCGAACGGACGAGAAGCUUGCUUCUCUGAUGUUAGCGGCGGACGGGUGAGUAACACGUGGAUAACCUACCUAUAAGACUGGGAUAACUUCGGGAAACCGGAGCUAAUACCGGAUAAUAUUUUGAACCGCAUGGUUCAAAAGUGAAAGACGGUCUUGCUGUCACUUAUAGAUGGAUCCGCGCUGCAUUAGCUAGUUGGUAAGGUAACGGCCUACCAAGGCAACGAUGCAUAGCCGACCUGAGAGGGUGAUCGGCCACACUGGAACUGAGACGCGGUCCAGACUCCUACGGGAGGCAGCAGUAGGGAAUCUUCCGCAAUGGGCGAAAGCCUGACGGAGCAACGCCGCGUGAGUGAUGAAGGUCUUCGGAUCGUAAAACUCUGUUAUUAGGGAAGAACAUAUGUGUAAGUAACUGUGCACAUCUUGACGGUACCUAAUCAGAAAGCCACGGCUAACUACGUG
This 497-nucleotide ribosomal RNA is filed under the name uncultured bacterium. RNAcentral's name for it is "partial 16S ribosomal RNA". It matches the Rfam family "Bacterial small subunit ribosomal RNA", at positions 28 to 507 of the family's 1533-position model. The record is from RNAcentral.